This 270-nucleotide ribosomal RNA is filed under the name uncultured archaeon. RNAcentral describes it as "partial 16S ribosomal RNA". It matches the Rfam family "Archaeal small subunit ribosomal RNA", at positions 477 to 747 of the family's 1478-position model. The record is from RNAcentral.
CAGCACCUCAAGUGGUCAGGAUGAUUAUUGGGCCUAAAGCAUCCGUAGCCGGCGCUGUAAGUUUUCGGUUAAAUCUGUACGCUCAACGUACAGGCUGCCGGGAAUACUGCAGCGCUAGGGAGUGGGAGAGGUAGACGGUACUCGGUAGGAAGGGGUAAAAUCCUUUGAUCUAGUGAUGACCACCUGUGGCGAAGGCGGUCUACCAGAACACGUCCGACGGUGAGGGAUGAAAGCUGGGGGAGCAAACCGGAUUAGAUACCCGUGUAGUCC